AAUUUAUUGGGGCGCGAUGAAGCACCGGUCGUAAUUUGGCCACUUGACUGGUGCUGAGCCAGUAGUGAAACCGACCCUUUAUGGG
This 85-nucleotide non-coding RNA is filed under the name Chloroflexota bacterium. RNAcentral describes it as "Chloroflexi bacterium c-di-GMP-II sequence". It matches the Rfam family "Cyclic di-GMP-II riboswitch aptamer". The record is from RNAcentral. Lineage: Bacteria; Bacillati; Chloroflexota.